AACGCUAGCUACAGGCUUAACACAUGCAAGUCGAGGGGAAACGACAUCGAAAGCUUGCUUUUGAUGGGCGUCGACCGGCGCACGGGUGAGUAACGCGUAUCCAACCUGCCCACCACUUGGGGAUAACCUUGCGAAAGUAAGACUAAUACCCAAUGACGUCUCUAGAAGACAUCUGAAAGAGAUUAAAGAUUUAUCGGUGAUGGAUGGGGAUGCGUCUGAUUAGCUUGUUGGCGGGGUAACGGCCCACCAAGGCAACGAUCAGUAGGGGUUCUGAGAGGAAGGUCCCCCACAUUGGAACUGAGACACGGUCCAAACUCCUACGGGAGGCAGCAGUGAGGAAUAUUGGUCAAUGGACGAGAGUCUGAACCAGCCAAGUAGCGUGCAGGAUGACGGCCCUAUGGGUUGUAAACUGCUUUUAUAAGGGAAUAAAGUGAGAGUCGUGACUCUUUUUGCAUGUACCUUAUGAAUAAGGACCGGCUAAUUCCGUGCCAGCAGCCGCGGUAAUACGGAGGAUCCGAGCGUUAUCCGGAUUUAUUGGGUUUAAAGGGAGCGUAGGUUGACAUAUAAGUCAGCUGUGAAAGUUUACGGCUCAACCGUGAAAUUGCAGUUGAUACUGUAUGUCUUGAGUGUACAAGAGGUGGGCGGAAUUCGUGGUGUAGCGGUGAAAUGCUUAGAUAUCACGAAGAACUCCGAUUG
RNAcentral lists this ribosomal RNA (696 nucleotides) under uncultured bacterium. RNAcentral describes it as "bacterial SSU rRNA". It matches the Rfam family "Bacterial small subunit ribosomal RNA", at positions 32 to 715 of the family's 1533-position model. The record is from RNAcentral.